GUGGCAUGUCUUGUUAUAUUUC
This 22-nucleotide small nuclear RNA is filed under the name Arabidopsis thaliana (thale cress). RNAcentral describes it as "snRNA_17930". Lineage: Eukaryota; Viridiplantae; Streptophyta; Magnoliopsida; Brassicales; Brassicaceae. The record is from RNAcentral.